This 94-nucleotide transfer RNA is filed under the name Aedes aegypti (yellow fever mosquito). It matches the Rfam family "tRNA". Rfam says of the family: Transfer RNA (tRNA) molecules are approximately 80 nucleotides in length. Lineage: Eukaryota; Metazoa; Arthropoda; Insecta; Diptera; Culicidae. The record is from Rfam by way of RNAcentral.
CCUUCGAUAGCUCAGUUGGUAGAGCGGUGGACUGUAGAUGUGAAACGCGCUAAUAGUAAUCCAUAGGUCGCUGGUUCAAAUCCGGCUCGAAGGA